AUGUGUCCAUAGCCACACCACUCUGAACAUGACUCUUUUGAUCUCGUGAAGGUUAGCAGGUCAAACCUGGUUAGUACUUGGAUGAGAGAUCACCUGGGAACACCAGGUUAAAACACAUC
RNAcentral lists this ribosomal RNA (119 nucleotides) under Otolemur garnettii (small-eared galago). Lineage: Eukaryota; Metazoa; Chordata; Mammalia; Primates; Galagidae. The record is from RNAcentral.